Molecule: ribosomal RNA, 253 nt
Filed under: uncultured bacterium
Lineage: Bacteria
Description: partial 16S ribosomal RNA
Rfam family: Bacterial small subunit ribosomal RNA
Source: RNAcentral
UACGAAGGGGGCUAGCGUUGCUCGGAAUCACUGGGCGUAAAGGGUGCGUAGGCGGGUCUUUAAGUCAGAGGUGAAAUCCUGGAGCUCAACUCCAGAACUGCCUUUGAUACUGAGGAUCUUGAGUUCGGGAGAGGUGAGUGGAACUGCGAGUGUAGAGGUGAAAUUCGUAGAUAUUCGCAAGAACACCAGUGGCGAAGGCGGCUCACUGGCCCGAUACUGACGCUGAGGCGCGAAAGCGUGGGGAGCAAACAGG